AUGAACGCUGGCGGCGUGCCUAAUACAUCCUAGUCGAGCGAACGGACGAGAAGCUUGCUUCUCUGAUGUUAGCGGCGGACGGGCGAGUAACACGUGGAUAACCUACCUAUAAGACUGGGAUAACUUCGGGAAACCGGACCUAAUACCGGAUAAUAUUUUGAACCGCCUGGUUCAAAAGUGAAAGACGGUCUUGCUGUCACUUAUAGCUGGAUCCGCGCUGCAUUAGCUAGUUGGUAAGGUAACGGCUUACCAAGGCAACGAUGCAUAGCCGACCUGAGAGGGUGAUCGGCCACACUGGAACUGGGACACGGUCCAGACUCCUGCGGGAGGCAGCAGUAGGGAAUCUUCCGCAAAGGGCGAAAGCCUGACGGAGCAACGCCGCGUGAGUGAUGAAGGUCUUCGGAUCGUAAAACUCUGUUAUUAGGGAAGAACAUAUGUGUAAGUAACUGUGCACAUCUUGACGGUACCUAAUCAGAAGGCCACGGCUAACUACGUG
Molecule: ribosomal RNA, 496 nt
Filed under: uncultured bacterium
Lineage: Bacteria
Description: partial 16S ribosomal RNA
Rfam family: Bacterial small subunit ribosomal RNA
Source: RNAcentral